GAUGAAGGUUGGAAAGCAGUACAUCGCAACAGAUACUGGCAAACCGGAGGAGACAGGUUGGGCGGGCUGGAGGGCCAUGUGAUGGACGUGUUGAGCCGGACUGGCCGAGGCUACGCGCCGGUCGAUUUUUUCGCUGAUGACGCCGAGCAGGCAAGCUCAAGCGAAGAGGAGGCCGCUGCCGCCCAUGUGCCUCUCCCGACAGCCCCACCCCAAGUGUCCGUGGGCACACAGCCGGGGACGAGCGGCACUGCACGUAAGGCA
Molecule: long non-coding RNA, 261 nt
Organism: Dermacentor silvarum
Lineage: Eukaryota; Metazoa; Arthropoda; Arachnida; Ixodida; Ixodidae
Exons: 3
Source: RefSeq, a predicted model, not a curated record